This is a long non-coding RNA of Bubalus bubalis (water buffalo), 3169 nucleotides long. RefSeq lists it as uncharacterized. The record is from RefSeq and is a predicted model, not a curated record. The transcript is spliced from 3 exons. Lineage: Eukaryota; Metazoa; Chordata; Mammalia; Artiodactyla; Bovidae.
CGAGCUUGCUUUGCUCUCCCACAGCAUCUUCUUGGAAAGUAAAGCCUCGCUCCCAGCUUCCCUUCUGGUUCAGGGGGGCAGCUGCCUGCAGGGCUGUCUCAGUGUCCUACUCACCAGGAGGAAAGGGCCCUUGGCGGCCCAGUCUCGGGAGCUGCCAGAGCCGUACUCUUUGCCGGCCAGGACGAUGAGGGGGAGGCCCGCCUGCUGGUACCGCUCAGCGGCAUCGAACACAUCAAGCUGAGGAGGAGAGGAGGAAGGUUUUACUGACAGAGUAAAGGCACAGCGUGUAGACAGAGGCCAGUGAGUCCUGGGGGGACAUGCAGGAGUGUCUGCAGUUGGCCAAGCCAGUGUAAAUUCAAUGGCAAACUCAACCAAUCAGUUGCCUGGUCUACAAAUUUCCAGUUAAUGCCAUCUAUUAAUACUUACCUCUGUCAAAUUGAAUUUUAUACUCAUAAGUGAAAUGCCUUAUUGUCCUAAUUUUAGAAAAACAUUCAAAUCCUAGGGCAUCAGGGGGAAAAAGGAAAUUAGAUCAGUUUUGUUUUUUUUUUACUCUUCUAUUGAUUAAAAUAUUUUAAAGCAAAAGCAGAGAAUCCCACCUAAAUCUGGGUUUUGAUUCUGUACCAGAGACUUGGUGAUGGUUGGUUGUGAAGGGUGGCCAAACACAAAAAAAGGUCACGUGUUUGGAAAUUACAAAAAUGCAGACUUUUAUUCAUCACCCUUCUACGUGGAGGUCAAGGAAACGAUAGUAGAAACACUGAUGAAGCACCAAUCAACAAAGGACAAGAAAGGGAUAAGGAAUCUCUUAGUAUGUAUGAGAAACAGCUUUAACAAACAGAUUCGUUUGUUUCUCAUAGGAACUCGGAACAUUCUCCUGAGCUGAGGCUUCACAAAGACGGGUGAUAUCAUUGAUGGCCUGUGUCUCCCUGUUUGACAGUCUGGAUUUCCCCGCUACAGCUCCGUAAUUUAGGUGCACACAGGUCCACCACUACCACUGAGUCAAAUAACAGCUGCAGCUGACAUUCUGUGGACGUGGCUGGCCCUGCAUUCCUCUGCCGAUGACAGAUGCUCGCUGUCAUCAGUAGCAGCUCUCCACAUGGACCCCCGUUUACAUAGGUACAGCCUUGUUUCAUCGUGACUGUUAGAAAUUCACGUGCUUUUCUGAUCCUUGAGAGGUCUUUGGUUAUGCCGUGUAUGGAAAAGGAGUCUACAACCCCUAUAACACUGCCCAUAUGAUGUAACCAACGCUAAAGCUGAUCCAAAUCAAGUUUAUGGAGAAGGAAAUGAUAACCCACUCCAGCGUUCUUGCCUGGAGAACCCCAUGGACGAGGAGCCUGGUGGGCUACAGUCCAUAGGGUCGCAAGAGUUGGACAUGACUUAGCGACUAAACCACUAAAUCAAGUUUAAUGAAAAACUUGAUUGGAAUUACCUGUGGCCAUUUGGGUUAUACGUUUGCAUGUGGCUAGAAAUGGCUCAUAGGAUAUUUCUCCACUGAGAUUUGAUUUUUUUUUUUUCUGCUUACCUAUUGCCUUCUGUAAUUGUUGGCAAUGACCCCAGAGAUCUGAAGGUUAGUGUAAACUCUCAUGGCUUGUAGUGGAUACUAGACAGCCUUACACUAGGCUGCAUCCUGACUGAAAUAAAAUCCCUUGGUCUCCCCAAGGACAGUUGCCUGGGUCCUGGAAAGCAUAUUUAAGUCAAUACUGCAGGUUAAUUUUAUCUUGCCUUUGGAGUCCUAUUGACAGAAGCCUUGAUUAAAUGCAGUAUGAGAACAUUUGAACUGAUUUAGUUCUAGCUGCUGUUGGUUAGAUUAAUGAGAGUGGUCAACAGUAUGGCAUACUUCUGUGAUUUUUGCCAGAAGUCAAGACAUGGAGGAACAACAGGUGGAUUGCUGGGGAAGGCAGUCUUCCGUGGCCCCUGCACAUUUUUGCUGGGUAUGCCAAGGACACAAGAUCCUGACUGCUGUUUACACAUGCCAUUCCUUAGGGUGGUGUUUACAGAGAGCAGAGAUUGUUAAAAUUAUGUAAAGUCAGGCAUGUGCCUCAAAAUUACUAGGUGAGGAGAGGAACUGAGUGAGACUAUAGAUGAAACAGUGUUGUCUAAGAAUUUAUGAUCGUUGAGUCUGGAUCAUGGGUGCAUGUGAGUUCAAAGUGCAGACUUUGCUAUCACUAUGCGUUCGUGCAUGCCUGCAUGCAGUCUCUUUAGUCAUGUCCACCUCUUUACGACCCUAUGGACCAUAGCCUGCCAGGCUCCUCUGUGCAUGGGAUUCUCCAGGCACGAGUACUGGUGUGGUCCCAUGGGAGGUGGAAUAGCCCAAGUUCCACGUCAUUCUUGUGAAUUUCCAAGCUCAUUGCUCCUCCUCUGCAGCACAAACCUACUGUAUGUAUUAUAUCCUUCUGGGGUCCUCCAUGUCACUCACUCCCAUGGGACCCGAGGCAAGGACUUGAUUCUCAUGCCGCUUGCUGUGCCUUGAGUAACCAAGUUUUUCUAUGACCCAGGAGUCUCCUGCCCCCUGCCAGUAUUCAUAAACUAGUAACAGUCUCUUAUUAGCUUGGAAGUACGAUAUAAUCCCAAACCCUCACGGGUAUCUGUGUUUUGGGGGAGGGCAAAGGAUGUUAUGAUGUUUGCUUGAAGUCACCAGGCACAAAGUUAGUUGUGUAACUUUGUUUUUACAUUGAGGAAAAGAAUUCAAUUCAUUAAACUUGUCCUAAAGCUGCACCAAACUGCAGAGCUUGAAAUUUAGCACUUUUUAAUUCAGCCACUUUUUAAGUUUUAUUUAAAAACUUUAAAAUAAUGAAAGGUCUCAGCCAUUUACAAAAGUAGAGAGACUAGAAUUGUGAACACUGAUAUAGAUAUCCCUCAGCUUUAGCAAUUUUCAACUCAUAGCUAAUCUGAUUAUUUCUGUAUCUGCCUCCCAUCCCUGAUAACUUGAAAGCAUAUUUAUGAAAUCAUAUCACUUCAUUUUUAAUAUAUUUUAAUUUAAAAUGAUUGACUGGAAUUUGCUUUGUUUUGUAGUAUCUGUAUUCUUUGAAUUUCCAAGAACUAUUUUGUGAACAUAAGAUAUAUAGCACCAUUAAUAAUAAUUAAUGGAAAACCAUCACAAUUCUCCUUCUCCCUGAUUUCUGAAAUAUUUUAGAGGAACCCAAACUGUACAUAGUGGUAAAUGUAUGUUCCU